This is a long non-coding RNA of Choloepus didactylus (southern two-toed sloth), 1381 nucleotides long. RefSeq lists it as uncharacterized. Lineage: Eukaryota; Metazoa; Chordata; Mammalia; Pilosa; Megalonychidae. The transcript has 4 exons. The record is from RefSeq and is a predicted model, not a curated record.
AUGUAACAGAGGUGGCCCAGAUGCCAGCAGCCUGUCUUCAGAAAAGCUUUAGCAAACUGAAACAGCAUCCAAAAGCAAAAGGAUGGAUUGAUGGAUGGAUAGAAGGAUGGAUUUAUGACAAAACAAAUGUAACAAAUUGUUAGUUGUUGACUCUAGGAGACCCAUGAAGGUGAAGCUAAGGCCUGGGAGUGAGACUGAGGGAGGCUCCUCAGACAAGACAUUACUAUGAAUCAAGACAUGGAGCAGGCUUGAGAGACCACUGGAAAAACUUGGAGCUGGAGCCGAAACAAGCAGGUAAAGGUGUAUGGUAGCUUGUGGUGCACGAACCAUCAAAACUCCACCUUCACUCUGGCCACCUUUGUCUGCUCAUGAACUACUUUUUUCCAUUCGGGAAAGUGGGAAUAGAAGUUGUCUCCUAUAAGAAGCAAAGUGGAAGAUAGGAGCUUCCUCUCCAGGACAGCUUCUCCAGGAAAUCUCAGCUUCCGAUUCACCCUCAGAUAUACCCUCCCCAGGGUAAAUUUCUGGUAAACAUUUGACUACUCAACAACUUAAACCCUAGGCAUAUUGUCUGUUUUUCUUUUCUUUAACUAUUGCUUAUUCUUUCUUUCCAGUUUGAAACUGUAAAUAAAAGUUUUCUUCAAAGUGAGUAUCAGUCAACACACAAUCUCAGAAUUAUCAGAGCUAGAUUAUUAGGCAGACAUUGACUAAGGUCCUUCAGAGAUUAGAUCUAAGUCACCCCAGUGACCCUGAGGGAUCCUGCCUUAAUUACCAGUUCCCUAGAAGUAUGUCCUUUCUUCCAAUCAAAAUUCUUGCUGCAUCAUUAAACUGUGGCCUACAAGCUUUAUAGUCCUCAAGAUGAAACUUUUAUCUCAUAACAGAUGAUUAAGCCCUUCUGCAGUGUAUUCUGCACUCCUCAAUGGAGAGAAUUUUCAUGUUAGCCACUUUCUGCCUUCUUUUCUACCCCCACUAAAUAGAAUUUUGACUUUCCGUUUUAUUCUGGACAUGGUGCAACUGUUUCCACUUUAAAUGUGACUCUUCCUCUAAUCCCACCUCUCACCCCCGCCCAGUUUUUAGGCCUACUCUUGCAUCUAUAUCCAAAGUACAAGAGAAAAUAGAACUUAAUGAUCCAGAGCUGAGUAUCUUUUUCAUGAUCAAUCCUUGUGGUACUGCCAUCUAACCUACACAUGCAUUUUAUUAAGGAAACCUUUUACCAAUGCAUGUGCACGCGCAUCCACACACACUCACACUCACAUAUGUUUUCCAGAUGGCAAUAAUUUUGAUAUGGGCAGGGUUUUGGUACUUGGAGUGAAGGGUAGGGAACUAACAUUUGAAAAAUGCCUACUGCAAUCCAACCUUACAAAUGGCACGACCACUCCUUAAA